RNAcentral lists this ribosomal RNA (253 nucleotides) under uncultured bacterium. RNAcentral's name for it is "partial 16S ribosomal RNA". It matches the Rfam family "Bacterial small subunit ribosomal RNA", at positions 524 to 776 of the family's 1533-position model. The record is from RNAcentral.
UACGGAGGGCGCGAGCGUUAGUCGGAAUUACUGGGCGUAAAGCGCGCGUAGGCUGUUGUGUAAGUUGGGGGUGAAAUCCCACGGCUCAACCGUGGAACAGCCCUUGAUACUGCGCGACUUGAAUCCGGGAGAGGGUGGCGGAAUUCCAGGUGUAGGAGUGAAAUCCGUAGAUAUCUGGAGGAACAUCAGUGGCGAAGGCGGCCACCUGGACCGGUAUUGUCGCUGAGGCGCGAAAGCGUGGGGAGCAAACAGG